RNAcentral lists this long non-coding RNA (155 nucleotides) under Lonchura striata (white-rumped munia). RNAcentral's name for it is "domestica (Bengalese finch) lncRNA (ENSLSDG00000006474.1)". Lineage: Eukaryota; Metazoa; Chordata; Aves; Passeriformes; Estrildidae. The record is from RNAcentral.
ACACGCCCCCCGAGCCACGUCCUUCCCUUUAACCCCGAAGUGGGUGGGCAGGUGGGACAGGUACAGGUGUGAUGGGUACAGGUGAGAUGGGUACAGGUGUGCCAGGUGUGAUGGGCAUAGGUGUGAAGGGUGCAGGUGAGAUGGUACAGGUGUGA